Long non-coding RNA from Pseudophryne corroboree (corroboree frog), 872 nucleotides. RefSeq lists it as uncharacterized. The record is from RefSeq and is a predicted model, not a curated record. NCBI's taxonomy places the organism in Eukaryota, Metazoa, Chordata, Amphibia, Anura, Myobatrachidae. The transcript is spliced from 3 exons.
UGGAGGAGGGAGCAAGAAAGCUGACGGUGUUUUGAUUGGCUGUGGCAGAGCGGGAAACAGAAGGCGGGGUUCGCGCCAGUGUGUGUGAGAGGAGACACACUCUGAAGAGUUGGGCCGCCGCUGAGGAGAACUGCCAAAGAAUAUGAGGUGGUACGCUUCCCCUGAGGUGACCUGAGGCAGUGGGUGAACACCCCUGUCAGUCUGUUCACCACUGAGGGAAGUUGAGGCGCCACGGAGACAGAGCAGACACUCUGGGGAGAGACAGAGCUCCCUGAAAGCGCAUCCAGACUGACAUCCAUUCCAGCACAGCGGGAGUAUACUGAAUGUACUCAGGGAAAGAAAGUGCCAGUGACCCGCUGCGGUUCAGCUGGGACACACGAGUGGCUGCUGUAAGAACUCUGGAGCUGGGGACCCGGCCGACCACUGCUGCUACUGACAGAAGACAGCUUAGACAAGGGAAAAUGAAUUUUGCUAUGGAUUACAGAGCAGUGCAAGAAUGUUACAGUACUUACGAGUUUAUAGAAAGAAAGACUAUAGUAUCUUGAAGUUUAAAAAACAGUCUCUCUCAUUUGAAUUAUGGAGUGAUGCUCUGUUGCAUAGCAACUGCCUAAGGCAAACUAUAGCUAGACAAAAAUGUUUUACAUGAAUAAAAAGAACUUUAAAGAACUAAAUAUGAUCAAAGGGUAUACAGCAAAACACAUCUCCCCAUAAUGUGUAUCAUAUGCUAUGCAUUCUAUGUAUAACAUUUCUGCUUAAGCAAAUCUGUAAUGCUCUUGCAGUUACCCAAGCUAGCAAAAUCAAAUCAUAUAAAUGGUCAUGAAAAGAUAAAGUUAUGAUUAAAUUGUAAACCUACAUAUUACCCACAUGUCUAC